GGCGCAGUGGCAGAGAGGUCUAAUGCGUUUGACUCGAAUUUAUUUCGAAACAAGAAAUGAAGCAACCAAUCAAAUCUCUUCGGAGGCGCACGUUCGAAUCGUGCCUGCGUCG
This is a non-coding RNA of Cryphonectria parasitica EP155, 112 nucleotides long. The record is from the annotation of a RefSeq genome assembly. Lineage: Eukaryota; Fungi; Ascomycota; Sordariomycetes; Diaporthales; Cryphonectriaceae.